RNAcentral lists this ribosomal RNA (344 nucleotides) under uncultured fungus. Its description in RNAcentral is "SSU rRNA". It matches the Rfam family "Eukaryotic small subunit ribosomal RNA", at positions 292 to 636 of the family's 1831-position model. The record is from RNAcentral. Lineage: Eukaryota; Fungi.
GGUUCAUUCAAAUUUCUGCCCUAUCAACUUUCGAUGGUAGGAUAGUGGCCUACCAUGGUUUCAACGGGUAACGGGGAAUUAGGGUUCGAUUCCGGAGAGGGAGCCUGAGAAACGGCUACCACAUCCAAGGAAGGCAGCAGGCGCGCAAAUUACCCAAUCCCGACCGGGGAGGUAGUGACAAUAAAUACUGAUACAGGGUUCUUUCGGAUCUUGUAAUUGGAAUGAGUACAAUUUAAAUCCCUUAACGAGGAACAAUUGGAGGGCAAGUCUGGUGCCAGCAGCCGCGGUAAUUCCAGCUCCAAUAGCGUAUAUUAAAGUUGUUGCAGUUAAAAAGCUCGUAGUUG